Molecule: non-coding RNA, 111 nt
Organism: Acanthosepion pharaonis
Lineage: Eukaryota; Metazoa; Mollusca; Cephalopoda; Sepiida; Sepiidae
Source: the annotation of a GenBank genome assembly
UUACGGCCACAUCACAUUGAACUACCGGUUCCCGUACGAUCACAGAAGUUAAGCAACGUCUAGCUUGAUCAGUACCUAGACGGGUGACCGCUUUGGAAUACCAAGUGCUAU